GAUGAACGCUGGCGGCGUGCCUAAUACAUGCAAGUCGAGCGAACAGACGAGGAGCUUGCUCCUCUGACGUUAGCGGCGGACGGGUGAGUAACACGUGGAUAACCUACCUAUAAGACUGGGAUAACUUCGGGAAACCGGAGCUAAUACCGGAUAACAUGUUGAACCGCAUGGUUCAACAGUGAAAGACGGUCUUGCUGUCACUUAUAGAUGGAUCCGCGCCGCAUUAGCUAGUCGGUAAGGUAACGGCUUACCAAGGCAACGAUGCGAAGCCGACCUGAGAGGGGGAUCGGCCACACUGGAACUGAGACACGGUCCAGACUCCUACGGGAGGCAGCAGUAGGGAAUCUUCCGCAAUGGGCGAAAGCCUGACGGAGCAACGCCGCGUGAGUGAAGAAGGUCUUCGGAUCGUAAAACUCUGUUAUUAGGGAAGAACAAAUGUGUAAGUAACUAUGCACGUCUUGACGGUACCUAAUCAGAAAGCCACGGCUAACUACGUG
Molecule: ribosomal RNA, 497 nt
Filed under: uncultured bacterium
Lineage: Bacteria
Description: partial 16S ribosomal RNA
Rfam family: Bacterial small subunit ribosomal RNA
Source: RNAcentral